Molecule: non-coding RNA, 136 nt
Organism: Cynocephalus volans (Philippine flying lemur)
Lineage: Eukaryota; Metazoa; Chordata; Mammalia; Dermoptera; Cynocephalidae
Product: small Cajal body-specific RNA 21
Exons: 1
Source: RefSeq, a predicted model, not a curated record
UGGCUCAGUUUCCUGGGAGGUGGGCUCAGCCUACUCCACCUCCCCUCAGCCCAGACUAGAGUACGUGGGCCAGGAGUCCCCAGGGCAGAGGCAUUUAAGCAGGGAGCCUCACCCGGGCAGUCCUAGCCUCACAUCC